This is a long non-coding RNA of Ictalurus furcatus (blue catfish), 3806 nucleotides long. RefSeq lists it as uncharacterized. The record is from RefSeq and is a predicted model, not a curated record. The transcript has 4 exons. Lineage: Eukaryota; Metazoa; Chordata; Actinopteri; Siluriformes; Ictaluridae.
AUCACGAAUUUAGAAUUCAGAAUUAGAAUUUUAUAAAGUCAUUGCGUAUUGCUGUCUGUAUGGAAGGGAGUCAGUGAUAUAAGAAAUGCGUGUAUUACAUUGAGAGAAGUAUUACAUGGAGCCAUUUCUUAUAAGAAGUUUGAGGAACUUCGCCUCUGCAACGGCAGAGAGAUUGGUGUUUCUUAGAUCACAGCUUCAAAACUAAGAUAUAUACCGACAGGGCACAGUGUGACACUGACACCAUUAAAUUGUUGCAGCAUCUUGCCAAAGAAGGACACAAAGCCAGUCUCUCCAAAUUACAGUAUGUACAACAAGAAGUGAGAUUUCUUGGGUCAUGACAUUUCUGCAAAGGGAAAGAAACUCUCCACAGAAAGAGUAUCUGCAAUGCAGAGUAUUCCCAAGCCCCUGACGAAGAAACAAGUUCUCUCUUUCCUAGGUUGGACAGUUCAUUCUCAGGUAAGCUGGAUCCAGUCGCUGCAGAGUUUCCCGUGUGUACGUGCAGUAGCAGCAGCUGAGAAAGCUGUGGUGGCAUCCAGAGACCUGAGGGAGACGGGGAACCACAUGAUCGUGUCGUACUGACUAAUGAACUCUGCUCCCCUAGAGUCGACCUGAAAGAUGUUCUAUUGGAAAACUCAGAUCUGAUCCUCUUUGUGGACGGAUCUGCAUCACGUGACCCAGAGACAGGUAAAAAUCGAGUGGGAUAUGCAGUAGUGACCGCACACGCGACGGUUUGUCAGGAAGUCUCCCCUCAUACCUGUCAGCACAGGCAGCUGAACUGUAUGCCCUCGUAGAGGCAUGAAGACCUGCUGAGGGACAGUCAGUAAAUAUCUACACAGACAGUAGAUAUGCCUUUGAGGUAGUACAUGAUUUUAGAACAAUUUGGAAGCACAGGAACUUCCUGACGAGUUCAGGAACACAUUUAGCCCACCACAAACGAGUCUCUGAGCUACUGUAUGCAGUCCUACUCCCCAAAACUACUGCAGUAUGCAAAUGUGAUGUACACACUAACAAAUUAGACCCUGUCUUCCUAGGAAACACUCGAGCGGACAGUGCAGCAAAGCAAGCAGCUGCAUCUAUAGUCCCAAUAUUCAAAAGAAAAUAAUCACUCCUUCUUUACAGCUUUCAGAUACCAAGCACGGGCUACUCGGACGAGGUAAAGGCUGUGUGGCGCAAAGCAGGUUGCAUGGUUGUUGACGGAGUUUGGCGAUGCCCCCAGGGCUGUCCUUGUCUUCAAAGUUGACGCAUGGCAGGGACCAUGCGUCAAAAGGGGGAAUGAUAGCUGCGAAAAGCACUGGUUUCUCUAAUUACGCUAAAAAAAUUUGGUUCACGCUGUUUGCACAACUCAUAACGUGGGUUGAGGUUUGAAGGUAGAGAAGGCCACGUCCCUAUGUCCAAACAGGACUCAGAAGCGGUAGUGAUAAUGAUAAUUUCCAGUGAUAAUGGCACACCUUUUGUGAGCCAUGCCCUUGAGUAGGUGGGUGAAUAUUUGGGUAUUGACUUAAAGCAGCACUGUGCAUAUCAUCCAGCUAGUGGUGGGGUGGUAGAGAGAGAAAAUGGGACACUAAUAAACUGACUGAACAAAUGCUGUUCUGAAACAGGCUUAAGAUGGGCUUAGCCCCUUUGGGAUACUGAUUGGGAGACCUUCACACACAGGAAUUGGACCUGUGACAGUUCCUCUUCCAGACACUGCAGCAUGUGAUGAUGUAAUGUUAAAUUACUGUGCAACCCUGUACUCUGCUCUGCACUCUUAUCCAAAAGCAGGUAAAGGCAGCAUUUCCAGCUCCAGCCAUGGGUCCGCUGCAUGAUCUGAAGCCCGGAGAGUGGGUCGUGAUCAAGGACUUCCGCAGGACCAGGUGGAACAAGCCACGGUGGUCUGGGCCAUUCUAGAUCCUUUUUCGUCACUCACUCUGUGGUAAAGGCCAGCCAGAGAGCCAUGUGGAUACACGCCAGCCACUGCAGGAGUGUGCCAGAGCCGAGCACUGAGCUGGAGAAGACAGGACUACAAUAGGAGAACUAGACCAUAAUUCUCUAUCAAGAGGCCUCUAGGAGGACCAACGCUCCCGAGCGACGAUCUGCCUAUACACACCCACACACAUGAACCAAUCUAAUGCGACUCCACAAUAGACGGUCUUAAGUGGUAUGUAGUAGCCGGAAUAGUACGACGUAAACUGUACUAUUAGGAGGACUGAACUUCAUUGGUGUGUACUAUAUAGCCACGUGACCAGGACAAAGGUUAGACGAUGUGACUUUGCUACCGCAGCUCUUACGCCCCAAAGCUCCCUGACCACAGACUACUGUUGCAGACUAGACACAAAUCAUUAGGAUGUCGACCUGCACAUCCACUCACACAUGCAAACCCAUUCCUAAUCGUGCACCCUUCUCCUGGUACAGGUGGUAUCUGUUAGUAAGCCCUGUCAGAAAUAAACUCACAAAUCACUGGGACCGUUCCCGACAACACUGGGGGUCCGGGGGUAGACCCUUAAGCUGGAAAGAUGAACCAAAGUGCGAUAUUGAAGUUUAUUGGAUGGAAGACUUAAUGAUCAAUCACACCAAUCACAUCGUUGCAGCAGAAAGAGUGCAUGACGCACACACUUUUACCCAAAUUUGUUAUUUAGCUGACCGUGGUGAAGGGACUAAGUGCCUAAGGCGACGUGAUUUCUGUAGGUCCCACAUAAGCCCACAAAGUUCUCUAGUACACUAUUGCUGCAGAUUGGACGACAAUUAGUAGUUAAAAGCCCUUAUGCCAAGAUAUUGGCCGCCUCUGUAAACCGUUCUGUAUCGCCUUUCGUUGUAAGAAUCAUUGCCAACAGUGCUACCCACACAACGUCACACGUCCUCUCGUCAUGCAGACACAUAAUGGCUAUUCUAUCAUUGAACACAUGCGGUCUGCAAUACGCAACCCUCCACAGACUAGUGAGACAGGGCUUGAUUGGCUGAACUCAGUACUCGGGGGAUGGGGCUCGUGGAUGUUAACCGUCUGUCUACCAAUAGGUGCAAUGAUUCUUCUUGUGUUGCUCAUUUUGCCUUGUAUCUCUCGUUCGGAGCAGUCUUUCACGCUCAUUGAAAUCACUAAUGACCAAACGCUGAUGUUGACAAAGACUGAUUACGAUCCAUAUGAUGAACAACAUGACUUGUAUCCUAAACCUGACUGGGAACUAGAUUCUCUCAGCGACACUGACAAUGACGACCCAUUGACAUCCAUUUCACAUCUAUUGUAAAUAUUCCUUUCACCAUGAUGAUUCUCAUUUCACUCAUAAGCUUGCUUAACGAAAGGAUACUUUAUAGCCGCAAAAACAGCCUUAGUGCCUUCAUUAUUUCAGUUUCAUGAUGAAUUCAGAUGAAUCGUGAAAGGAUUCUGAAGUUCUGAUGUAUUUACAGCAUAGUAAUUCCUCUGUUAAUUUUAGCUAUCAUAUUUUGUAACGAUAAAAUGGGGGAAUGUGAGGGAAAUUAUUCAUUUUUACUUUGUAAUAAGUUUGUUCUGGUUCUGUUUCAUUCUCAUGUGAGGAUAACGCCUAAGGAGGCCACGUGAUGUCACUAAGAUCAGUACAGAAUGUUUAUCUGCUUACAGAGACACAAACAUGUUCUUCUGUUCAAGGUUCAUCUAAACAUCUUCCAAGAUCCUAAAACAAAGCCUGUUUGAACUGCCUCAAACUGCUUCUUAUCGGUACACAGAAUGAUGUCAUGCUCUGCAUUUCAUAUAUAUAGUAGUGGUUCAGUACAAGGACUUCAGAGCGCUCUCAUUAUUCUAUCCUGCUUUAUUCCAUCCUGUAUUAACCAUCUUUCUGUAAUAAACCUUUUUACCUUCA